GGGGAUGUAGCUCAGUGGUAGUGUAUUUGCCUAGCAUGCAUGAGAUCCUGGGUCCAAUCCCCAGCACUGCCA
This 72-nucleotide transfer RNA is filed under the name Ictidomys tridecemlineatus (thirteen-lined ground squirrel). Its description in RNAcentral is "Spermophilus tridecemlineatus (thirteen-lined ground squirrel) tRNA". It matches the Rfam family "tRNA". From Rfam's summary of the family: Transfer RNA (tRNA) molecules are approximately 80 nucleotides in length. The record is from Rfam by way of RNAcentral. Lineage: Eukaryota; Metazoa; Chordata; Mammalia; Rodentia; Sciuridae.